CCUACGGGAGACUGCAGUGAGGAAUAUUGGUCAAUGGACGAGAGUCUGAACCAGCCAAGUAGCGUGAAGGAUGACUGCCCUAUGGGUUGUAAACUUCUUUUAUAAAGGAAUAAAACGAGGCACGUGUGCCUUUUUGUAUGUACUUUAUGAAUAAGGAUCGGCUAACUCCGUGCCAGCAGCCGCGGUAAUACGGAGGAUCCGAGCGUUAUCCGGAUUUAUUGGGUUUAAAGGGAGCGUAGAUGGGUUGUUAAGUCAGUUGUGAAAGUUUGCGGCUCAACCGUAAAAUUGCAAUUGAUACUGGCAGUCUUGAGUACAGUAGAGGUGGGCGGAAUUCGUGGUGUAGCGGUGAAAUGCUUAGAUAUCACGAAGAACUCCGAUUGCGAAGGCAGCUUACUAAACUGCCACUGACAUUGAUGCUCGAAAGUGUGGGUAUCAAACAGGAUUAGAUACCCGAGUAGUC
This 460-nucleotide ribosomal RNA is filed under the name uncultured bacterium. RNAcentral describes it as "partial 16S ribosomal RNA". It matches the Rfam family "Bacterial small subunit ribosomal RNA", at positions 338 to 795 of the family's 1533-position model. The record is from RNAcentral.